Molecule: long non-coding RNA, 1418 nt
Organism: Trachemys scripta elegans
Lineage: Eukaryota; Metazoa; Chordata; Testudines; Emydidae
Exons: 2
Source: RefSeq, a predicted model, not a curated record
AAAAAGAGGAAGCUGUAGUGCACGAUGCAGAUGUAAUGCAUUCUGAGAAGUGGUUGCUUUUCCCUGCUUCCACUGAAAGUCUGUUCUAAGAAAGGUUUCUAACGCAACCUCAGUUAAAAACAUAUCCAAUGGUUAAAAUGGGCAGAAAGAAGGUACCCUUUGAUAAAUUAAAGAUGGAGUAACCAUGUUCCUCAAGAAUCAUGUUUUCCAAAGGAAGCACGAUAUAGAGGCACAGAAAUCUGGGUUCUAGCCUCAGGUCUGCCACUGGUGUGCCAUGUGGCCUUGGGGAAGUCAUUACUACUACUCUGGGCCUCUAUUUACUCAUCUGAAUAUUGGGCAUAAGACCUACUCACCUCCUAGGGCUAUUGUGAGGGUUAAUUCAAUUUGGUAUGUCAAGCAAAUUGCAUUACUAUAGCUUUCUGUCUGAAGGUUUCCAAGAAGUGCAAAAGCAGAAUAUCUGAAAUUCUGCAGCAUGCCAUUUCAAAAAUUAUGCCCAUAAAAUAGAUGGGUACAUUGCAAAGUGCUUUGAAAAUGAAAAGCACAAUGCGUGUGUUUUUUGUGGGGUGAGAGGGUUUCUUUCUCCACCUCACAUCAAGCUAACGUUUUUUCCUUCAGUAAUGGGCUAGAUGCAACUCCCUCCACUUGGAAUUCACAUUGUCUACCUUUUCAAAAAUGGGAGGAAUGUGCCCCCCACUUCCUUAGACUUAGCCUGACUGUGAAAACAGACUAAUGGCAUUAAAAAACGAACUUUUCAUUGUUCCUGUAGGUUUCUAAUUAGCUACCUUUUCCGUUCACAUGAAGAAAGAAACUACAGAAAUCUCAAUAUAUGGACACCAUUCCCAGAGGCAGAGUAAGACAGCACUUGAAUAUAAAAUAAUGACUACUGCUGUAUCUUCAAAACAGUCCAAAGGCGGACAAUUGUGGUCACAGGAGUUGGACUGGGGGGCACUCCAGGACCUUGACGGAGGUGGCGGGGGAUGGAAAGGCAUUCUAGCCUGCUGAGGGGUGUGAAGGCCCAAGGGACGGAGGGUGGCACGGGAGUCUUUAAGGCUGUGGAGUUGUGUGUCUGUCAGCUCCAAAGAGAGCCCUGCUCCCUCAAAUGGGAGGUCCUGAACGGUUUGCAUCUCCUGGGACAGCGCAGAGGAUCGUAACCAGGAGCUGCACCUCAUGACCUCUGCGGAGGCGACUACCGUGGCCGCUGAGUCCAUAGGAUCCCAGGCUAUCUGGAAGGUGCCUCUCGCCACCGCUUUGCCCUCGUCCACCAAGACGGCGAACUCCUGGGCUCAGUCCUGUGGGAGGCCCUCCUUAAACUUGUUGAUGGAGUCCCACAGGUUGAAGUUGUACCUGGCUAGCAGGGCCUGCUGGUUAAACACCCGAAAUUGCAGGCUGGCUUUCCAAUAAAUUUUCCAGCCAAACAA